CUCGUAGGCGGCCAACUAAGUCAGACGUGAAAUCCCUCGGCUUAACCGGGGAACUGCGUCUGAUACUGGAUGGCUUGAGUUUGGGAGAGGGAUGCGGAAUUCCAGGUGUAGCGGUGAAAUGCGUAGAUAUCUGGAGGAACACCGGUGGCGAAGGCGGCAUCCUGGACCAACACUGACGCUGAGUGAGCGAAAGCCAGGGGAGCAAACGGGAUUAGAUACCCCGGUAGUCCUGGCCCUAAACGAUGAAUGCUUGGUGUGGCGGGUAUCGAUCCCUGCCGUGCCGAAGCUAACGCAUUAAGCAUUCCGCCUGGGGAGUACGGUCGCAAGGCUGAA
This 333-nucleotide ribosomal RNA is filed under the name uncultured bacterium. RNAcentral's name for it is "bacterial SSU rRNA". It matches the Rfam family "Bacterial small subunit ribosomal RNA", at positions 568 to 898 of the family's 1533-position model. The record is from RNAcentral.